UACAUGGGGUGCAACCGUUGCUCGGAAUUAUUGGGCGUAAAGCGCACGUAGGCGGUUUGUUAAGUCGGAUGUGAAAGCCCUGGGCUUAACCUAGGAAGUGCAUUCGAAACUCCCGAGCUUGAGUUCUGGAGAGGAAGGCGGAAUUCUCGGUGUAGAGGUGAAAUUCGUAGAUAUCGAGAGGAACACCGGUGGCGAAGGCGGCCUUCUGGACAGUGACUGACGCUGAGACGCGAAAGCGUGGGGAGCAAACAGG
RNAcentral lists this ribosomal RNA (253 nucleotides) under uncultured bacterium. RNAcentral's name for it is "partial 16S ribosomal RNA". It matches the Rfam family "Bacterial small subunit ribosomal RNA", at positions 524 to 776 of the family's 1533-position model. The record is from RNAcentral.